RNAcentral lists this ribosomal RNA (385 nucleotides) under uncultured Cryptomonas. RNAcentral's name for it is "partial small subunit ribosomal RNA". It matches the Rfam family "Eukaryotic small subunit ribosomal RNA", at positions 30 to 432 of the family's 1831-position model. The record is from RNAcentral. Lineage: Eukaryota; Cryptophyceae; Cryptomonadales; Cryptomonadaceae.
GCUUGUCUCAAAGAUUAAGCCAUGCAUGUCUUAGUGUAAAUAACUCUUAUGAAACUGCGAAUGGCUCAUUAAAUCAGUUAUCAAAUACGUGAUGGUCGCCUACUACAUGGAUAACCGUAGUAAUUCUAGAGCUAAUACAUGCACAAAGGCCCACUCACGUGGGUUGUGAUUAUUAGAUUCAAACCGGCCUCGUUCUGGUGAUUCAUGAUAACUUUGCGAAUCGCAUAGCUUUAAUGCUGGCGAUGGGUCAUUCAAAUUUCUGCCCUAUCAACUUUCGACGGUAGGAUAGAGGCCUACUGUGGUGAUAACGGGUAACGAAGAAUAAGGGUUCGAUUUCGGAGAGGGAGCCUGAGAAACGGCUACCACAUCCAAGGAAGGCAGCAGG